Molecule: transfer RNA, 73 nt
Filed under: Lepisosteus oculatus (spotted gar)
Lineage: Eukaryota; Metazoa; Chordata; Actinopteri; Semionotiformes; Lepisosteidae
Rfam family: tRNA
About the family: Transfer RNA (tRNA) molecules are approximately 80 nucleotides in length. Their secondary structure includes four short double-helical elements and three loops (D, anti-codon, and T loops).
Source: Rfam by way of RNAcentral
GCCAAAAUAGCUCAGUUGGGAGAGUGUUAGACUGAAGAUGUCAAGAUCCCUGGUUUGAGCCCAUGUUUUGGUG